AGGGCGCACGGUGGAUGCCUUGGCACUAGAAGCCGAUGAAGGACGUGACUAACGACGAAAUGCUUUGGGGAGCUGUAAGUGAGCAAUGAUCCAGAGAUGUCCGAAUGGGGGAACCCGGCAGGUAAUGCCUGUCACUCAUUACUGUUAAGGUAAUGUAGAGGAAGACGCAGUGAACUGAAACAUCUAAGUAGCUGUAGGAAGAGAAAGCAAAAGCGAUUGCCUUAGUAGCGGCGAGCGAAACGGCAAGAGGGCAAACCGAAGAGUUUACUCUUCGGGGUUGUAGGACUGCAACGUGGACUUAAAGAUUAUAGAAGAACUACCUGGGAAGGUAGGCCAAAGAGAGUAAUAGCCUCGUAUUCGAAAUAGUCUUUAUACCUAGCAGUAUCCUGAGUACGGCGAGACACGAGAAAUCUCGUCGGAAUCUGGGAGGACCAUCUCCCAACCCUAAAUACUCUCUAGUGACCGAUAGUGAACCAGUACCGUGAGGGAAAGGUGAAAAGCACCCCGGGAGGGGAGUGAAAUAGAACCUGAAACCGUGUGCCUACAACAAGUUCGAGCCCGUUAAUGGGUGAGAGCGUGCCUUUUGUAGAAUGAACCGGCGAGUUACGAUAUGAUGCGAGGUUAAGUUGAAGAGACGGAGCCGUAGGGAAACCGAGUCUUAAUAGGGCGCAUUAGUAUCAUGUCGUAGACCCGAAACCAUGUGACCUACCCAUGAGCAGGUUGAAGGUGAGGUAAAACUCACUGGAGGACCGAACCAGGGCACGUUGAAAAGUGCUUGGAUGACUUGUGGGUAGCGGAGAAAUUCCAAACGAACUUGGAGAUAGCUGGUUCUCUCCGAAAUAGCUUUAGGGCUAGCGUCGAUGUUAAGUCUCUUGGAGGUAGAGCACUGUUUGGGUGAGGGGUCCAUCCCGGAUUACCAAUCUCAGAUAAACUCCGAAUGCCAAUGAGAUAUAAUCGGCAGUCAGACUGCGAGUGCUAAGAUCCGUAGUCGAAAGGGAAACAGCCCAGACCACCAGCUAAGGUCCCAAAAUAUAUGUUAAGUGGAAAAGGAUGUGGGGUUGCACAGACAACUAGGAUGUUAGCUUAGAAGCAGCUAUUCAUUCAAAGAGUGCGUAAUAGCUCACUAGUCGAGUGACCCUGCGCCGAAAAUGUACCGGGGCUAAAACAUAUUACCGAAGCUGUGGAUACCUUUAUAGGUAUGGUAGGAGAGCGUUCUAUGUGCGAAGAAGGUGUACCGUGAGGAGUGCUGGAGCGCAUAGAAGUGAGAAUGCCGGUAUGAGUAGCGAAAGACAGGUGAGAAUCCUGUCCACCGUAAGACUAAGGUUUCCAGGGGAAGGCUCGUCCGCCCUGGGUUAGUCGGGACCUAAGGAGAGACCGAAAGGUGUAUCCGAUGGACAACAGGUUGAUAUUCCUGUACUAGAGUAUAUAGUGAUGGAGGGACGCAGUAGGCUAACUAAACCAGACGAUUGGAAGUGUCUGGCCAAGCAGUGAGGUGUGAUAUGAGUCAAAUGCUUAUAUCUUUAACAUUGAGCUGUGAUGGGGAGCGAAGUUUAGUAGCGAAGUUAGUGAUGUCACACUGCCGAGAAAAGCUUCUAGCGUUAAUUAUACUCUACCCGUACCGCAAACCGACACAGGUAGUCGAGGCGAGUAGCCUCAGGUGAGCGAGAGAACUCUCGUUAAGGAACUCGGCAAAAUGGCCCCGUAACUUCGGGAGAAGGGGCGCUGACUGAUGGUCAGCCGCAGUGAAUAGGCCCAAGCAACUGUUUAUCAAAAACACAGCUCUCUGCUAAAUCGUAAGAUGAUGUAUAGGGGGUGACGCCUGCCCGGUGCUGGAAGGUUAAGAGGAGUGCUUAGCGUAAGCGAAGGCAUGAAUUGAAGCCCCAGUAAACGGCGGCCGUAACUAUAACGGUCCUAAGGUAGCGAAAUUCCUUGUCGGGUAAGUUCCGACCCGCACGAAAGGCGUAAUGAUUUGGGCACUGUCUCAACGAGAGACUCGGUGAAAUUUUAGUACCUGUGAAGAUGCAGGUUACCCGCGACAGGACGGAAAGACCCCAUGGAGCUUUACUGCAGUUUGAUAUUGAGUAUCUGUACCACAUGUACAGGAUAGGUAGGAGCCUAUGACCUCGGGACGCCAGUUUCGAGUGAGGCGUUGUUGGGAUACUACCCUUGUGUUAUGGCUACUCUAACCCAGAUAGGUUAUCCCUAUCGGAGACAGUGUCUGACGGGCAGUUUGACUGGGGCGGUCGCCUCCUAAAAGGUAACG
This 2263-nucleotide ribosomal RNA is filed under the name human gut metagenome. RNAcentral describes it as "bacterial LSU rRNA". It matches the Rfam family "Bacterial large subunit ribosomal RNA", at positions 14 to 2302 of the family's 2925-position model. The record is from RNAcentral.